UGAGGAAACCCAAGGCACAGAGGAGGAGGUGAGAUACUGAGAACUGCUCAAGCAACCCAGGAAAAGAAGUCCACCAGGCAUUCCACGUGUCAGCUUGGGCUCCCUCCCUACUGUGUGACAGCAUCAUUCGCAGAAAUGAUAAGGCUAAAGGAGCAAGAGGAAAGCGCUUCUCUAGCUACAGAACAAAGCAAGGAGCACCAAGCCAACAGGACCAUUGUCUGCCCAACUUCUCAGUAUGUUGUCAAGUCCACCCACAUCUGCUCAGAUAGGCCUGAACAUGAUCCAGACUUCCCCAGAGAAGCUGAGCUGGCAGGAGAUUUUAGAUCAGACUUCAUGUAUAGAUGACUCCCAAGACAAAAAGAGCAUUUUUGACCUGUGUUCUUAAAGGUGUUAAUGUGAUGUAAUUCCAGAUCCCCU
RNAcentral lists this long non-coding RNA (417 nucleotides) under Phasianus colchicus (ring-necked pheasant). RNAcentral's name for it is "lncRNA (ENSPCLG00000010676.1)". Lineage: Eukaryota; Metazoa; Chordata; Aves; Galliformes; Phasianidae. The record is from RNAcentral.